AGUGAACGCUGGCGGUAGGCCUAACACAUGCAAGUCGAACGCAGCACAGUAAGAGCUUGCUCUUACGGGUGGCGAGUGGCGGACGGGUGAGGAAUACAUCGGAAUCUACUUUUUCGUGGGGGAUAACGUAGGGAAACUUACGCUAAUACCGCAUACGACCUACGGGUGAAAGCAGGGGAUCUUCGGACCUUGCGCGAUUGAAUGAGCCGAUGUCGGAUCAGCUAGUUGGCGGGGUAAAGGCCCACCAAGGCGACGAUCCGUAGCUGGUCUGAGAGGAUGAUCAGCCACACUGGAACUGAGACACGGUCCAGACUCCUACGGGAGGCAGCAGUGGGGAAUAUUGGACAAUGGGCGCAAGCCUGAUCCAGCCAUACCGCGUGGGUGAAGAAGGCCUUCGGGUUGUAAAGCCCUUUUGUUGGGAAAGAAAAGCAGCAGGUUAAUACCCCGCUGUUCUGACGGUACCCAAAGAAUAAGCACCGGCUAACUUCGUG
RNAcentral lists this ribosomal RNA (491 nucleotides) under uncultured bacterium. Its description in RNAcentral is "partial 16S ribosomal RNA". It matches the Rfam family "Bacterial small subunit ribosomal RNA", at positions 29 to 507 of the family's 1533-position model. The record is from RNAcentral.